RNAcentral lists this ribosomal RNA (469 nucleotides) under uncultured bacterium. RNAcentral describes it as "partial 16S ribosomal RNA". It matches the Rfam family "Bacterial small subunit ribosomal RNA", at positions 28 to 508 of the family's 1533-position model. The record is from RNAcentral.
GACGAACGCUGGCGGCGCGCCUAACACAUGCAAGUCGAACGGAGCUGAGAGAAGCUUGCUUUUCUUAGCUUAGUGGCGAACGGGUGAGUAACGCGUGAGUAACCUGCCCUGGAGUGGGGGACAACAGUUGGAAACGACUGCUAAUACCGCAUAAGCCCACGAUCCGGCAUCGGAUUGAGGGAAAAGGAUUUAUUCGCUUCAGGAUGGACUCGCGUCCAAUUAGCUAGUUGGUGAGGUAACGGCCCACCAAGGCGACGAUUGGUAGCCGGACUGAGAGGUUGAACGGCCACAUUGGGACUGAGACACGGCCCAGACUCCUACGGGAGGCAGCAGUGGGGGAUAUUGCACAAUGGGGGAAACCCUGAUGCAGCGACGCCGCGUGGAGGAAGAAGGUUUUCGGAUUGUAAACUCCUGUCGUUAGGGACGAUAAUGACGGUACCUAACAAGAAAGCGCCGGCUAACUACGUGC